AAUUUUUAUUUUAAACUCAACAUUGGGUAAAAAAGAGAAUUCGGAGUUCGAGUUUACCUACACCAAUUCUGACACUUGGAACGCGUCUAGAGUAUCUAAAAAUGGUGGAAAGUACUGUAAUAUUGACCCACUUCCAAAGUGGGUCUGGCAGUCUGCGUAUCUAACCCGAAAUUGCUAUCUCGGUUACUGGUAAAAUUUCUUCAAAAUGAAAAU
Molecule: unclassified non-coding RNA, 213 nt
Filed under: Hevea brasiliensis (rubber tree)
Lineage: Eukaryota; Viridiplantae; Streptophyta; Magnoliopsida; Malpighiales; Euphorbiaceae
Source: RNAcentral